GGGCGUAUGGAUAAUUUAGAAGAUUAACAGUGAUGUUGAUUGGAAUUAUCUUUAGUGCAGAUCUUGGUGGUAGUAGCAAAUAUUCAAUAGAGAACAUUGAAGACUGAAGUGGAGAAAGGUUUCACAUGAACAACACUUGGAUGUGAGUUAGUCGAUCCUAAACGGUGGGUUAACUCCAAAUACAUGAAUACUUGUAUUCUGUACCGUGAAAGGGAAACAGGUUAAUAUUCCUGUACUAUAUCAAGGAGGUAAAGUGGUAACACAAAUGAACUCAAAUACAUCAGUAGAAUAACCAGGAAGAGUUCUCUUUUCUUUUUAACGUACUUUCCCGCAAGGGAUGUAUAAUGACCAUGGAAUCAAUUAGUUGGAGAAAUGGUUAAAGAGUCGGUAGAGUAAAUCAAUUUCUGAUUUAUCUGGUUAGGUUCUAAUGGUACAUAAAAAAUUUGAGGGAAUGAUCUUGCUUGAAUAGUCGUACUCAUAACCGCAGCAGGUCUCCAAGGUUAGAAGCUCUAGUUGGCAGAAUAAUGUAGGUAAGGG
This 537-nucleotide ribosomal RNA is filed under the name uncultured eukaryote. RNAcentral describes it as "eukaryotic LSU rRNA". It matches the Rfam family "Eukaryotic large subunit ribosomal RNA", at positions 1387 to 1910 of the family's 3401-position model. The record is from RNAcentral.